RNAcentral lists this ribosomal RNA (444 nucleotides) under uncultured bacterium. RNAcentral describes it as "bacterial SSU rRNA". It matches the Rfam family "Bacterial small subunit ribosomal RNA", at positions 354 to 796 of the family's 1533-position model. The record is from RNAcentral.
GUAGGGAAUAUUGGUCAAUGGGGGCAACCCUGAACCAGCCAUGCCGCGUGAGGGAAGAAGGUCCUCUGGAUUGUAAACCUCUUUUGUCCGGGAAUAAAAUCUCGCUAUAUGCGGGACUGAAGGUACCGGGAGAAUAAGCACCGGCUAACUCCGUGCCAGCAGCCGCGGUAAUACGGAGGGUGCAAGCGUUGUCCGGAUUCAUUGGGUUUAAAGGGUGCGUAGGCGGGUUUUUAAGUCAGUGGUGAAAUCCAGCGGCUCAACCGUUGAAUUGCCAUUGAUACUGAGAAUCUUGAGUGAAGGCGAGGCAGCAGGAAUGUGUGGUGUAGCGGUGAAAUGCAUAGAUAUCACACAGAACACCGAUUGCGAAGGCAAGCUGCUAGUCUUAGACUGACGCUGAGGCACGAAAGCGUGGGGAUCAAACAGGAUUAGAUACCCUAGUAGUCC